This 372-nucleotide ribosomal RNA is filed under the name uncultured organism. RNAcentral's name for it is "partial 16S ribosomal RNA". It matches the Rfam family "Bacterial small subunit ribosomal RNA", at positions 527 to 896 of the family's 1533-position model. The record is from RNAcentral.
GUAGGUGGCAAGCGUUGUCCGGAAUUAUUGGGCGUAAAGCGCGCGCAGGGCGGUUCUUUAAGUCUGAUGUGAAAGCCCACGGCUCAACCGUGGGGGGUCAUUGGAAACUGGGGAACUUGAGUACAGAAGAGGAAAGCGGAAUUCCACGUGUAGCGGUGAAAUGCGUAGAGAUGUGGAGGAACACCAGUGGCGAAGGCGGCUUUCUGGUCUGUAACUGACGCUGAGGCGCGAAAGCGUGGGGAGCAAACAGGAUUAGAUACCCUGGUAGUCCACGCCGUAAACGAUGAGUGCUAAGUGUUAGGGGGUUUCCGCCCCUUAGUGCUGCAGCUAACGCAUUAAGCACUCCGCCUGGGGAGUACGGCCGCAAGGCUG